GACGAACGCUGGCGGCGUGCUUAACACAUGCAAGUCGAACGGAAAGGCCCUGCUUUUGUGGGGUGCUCGAGUGGCGAAGGGGUGAGUAACACGUGAGUAACCCGCCCUUGACUGUGGGAUAACUUCAGGAAACUAGGGCUAAUACCGGAUAGGAGCUCCUGCAGCAGGGUGGGGGUUGGAAAGGUUCGGUGGUUGGGGACGGUCUCGCGGCUUAUCAGCUAGUUGGUGGGGUAGUGGCAUACCAAGGGUUUGACGGGUAGCCGGCCUGGGAGCUGGACCACCCACCAUACGACUACGGUACGCACCAGUCUCCAACGGGAGGCAAUGGUCGGAAGUAUGACACAGUGGGCCGGCGCGUGGGACGACGGCGCCCCGUGCGUAAACACCUCCUUCGGGUUAUGAACAGCUUUCGCCUGAGACGUGGCGUGCGUGACGGUACUGGAUAAAGAAGCACCGGCUAACUACGUG
Molecule: ribosomal RNA, 468 nt
Filed under: uncultured bacterium
Lineage: Bacteria
Description: partial 16S ribosomal RNA
Rfam family: Bacterial small subunit ribosomal RNA
Source: RNAcentral